RNAcentral lists this ribosomal RNA (933 nucleotides) under Escherichia coli. Its description in RNAcentral is "partial 23S ribosomal RNA". It matches the Rfam family "Bacterial large subunit ribosomal RNA", at positions 814 to 1746 of the family's 2925-position model. Lineage: Bacteria; Pseudomonadati; Pseudomonadota; Gammaproteobacteria; Enterobacterales; Enterobacteriaceae. The record is from RNAcentral.
GCUGGGGGUGAAAGGCCAAUCAAACCGGGAGAUAGCUGGUUCUCCCCGAAAGCUAUUUAGGUAGCGCCUCGUGAAUUCAUCUCCGGGGGUAGAGCACUGUUUCGGCAAGGGGGUCAUCCCGACUUACCAACCCGAUGCAAACUGCGAAUACCGGAGAAUGUUAUCACGGGAGACACACGGCGGGUGCUAACGUCCGUCGUGAAGAGGGAAACAACCCAGACCGCCAGCUAAGGUCCCAAAGUCAUGGUUAAGUGGGAAACGAUGUGGGAAGGCCCAGACAGCCAGGAUGUUGGCUUAGAAGCAGCCAUCAUUUAAAGAAAGCGUAAUAGCUCACUGGUCGAGUCGGCCUGCGCGGAAGAUGUAACGGGGCUAAACCAUGCACCGAAGCUGCGGCAGCGACGCUGAUGCGUUGUUGGGUAGGGGAGCGUUCUGUAAGCCUGUGAAGGUGUACUGUGAGGUAUGCUGGAGGUAUCAGAAGUGCGAAUGCUGACAUAAGUAACGAUAAAGCGGGUGAAAAGCCCGCUCGCCGGAAGACCAAGGGUUCCUGUCCAACGUUAAUCGGGGCAGGGUGAGUCGACCCCUAAGGCGAGGCCGAAAGGCGUAGUCGAUGGGAAACAGGUUAAUAUUCCUGUACUUGGUGUUACUGCGAAGGGGGGACGGAGAAGGCUAUGUUGGCCGGGCGACGGUUGUCCCGGUUUAAGCGUGUAGGCUGGUUUUCCAGGCAAAUCCGGAAAAUCAAGGCUGAGGCGUGAUGACGAGGCACUACGGUGCUGAAGCAACAAAUGCCCUGCUUCCAGGAAAAGCCUCUAAGCAUCAGGUAACAUCAAAUCGUACCCCAAACCGACACAGGUGGUCAGGUAGAGAAUACCAAGGCGCUUGAGAGAACUCGGGUGAAGGAACUAGGCAAAAUGGUGCCGUAACUUCGGGAGAAGG